AACGCAACUUGCGCUUGCUUCUGGCAAGCAUGCCUGUUUGAGAAUCUAUAGCACACUUUAGCCGACAGGCUGAGAGAUGGGCGCUGUUUGCAGAAACUCGCCUGAAAAAGAUGGAUUGGUGAGGCUGGUACAAGCAGCCGUCUGACCAGAGAGAUGAAGGGCGUGCCCACUUCCUCUGGCGCAGGCGGGUGUUCGGCUGUAGCCAACGGACGCAGCUUGCUGCACUUUUGAACUUGGUCUCAAAUCAGGUAGGAGGACCCGCUGAACUUAA
RNAcentral lists this unclassified non-coding RNA (271 nucleotides) under uncultured fungus. RNAcentral's name for it is "partial contains 5.8S ribosomal RNA, internal transcribed spacer 2, and large subunit ribosomal RNA". The record is from RNAcentral. Lineage: Eukaryota; Fungi.